GAACGAUCAUGGCAAAACUGUGGAAACGCAGUGACGCAAAACUACAGGGGCUAAAGCGAUGCUAUGCCAGCCAGUUGCCGUU
RNAcentral lists this non-coding RNA (82 nucleotides) under Salipaludibacillus aurantiacus. Its description in RNAcentral is "GEMM cis-regulatory element". It matches the Rfam family "c-di-GMP-I riboswitch aptamer". Rfam says of the family: GEMM was predicted in a large-scale screen for bacterial structured RNA regulatory elements. Genes associated with GEMM are involved in a diverse array of functions, including chemotaxis regulation, signal transduction, secretion and chitin. Lineage: Bacteria; Bacillati; Bacillota; Bacilli; Caryophanales; Bacillaceae. The record is from RNAcentral.